UCACUAACUCUUCACUUCAAUUCCCACACAUCUGAACCCUAAUUUCCUUCAUUUCUACACUCAUUCGCCGAUCAAUCUCCGGUCACUUUUUUCUACUAAAUCUGUUUUUCAAAUGGCUCGAUCUAGCAUUAUCAACGUAUUCUUCAUUGUAUUCAUCGUUGCUCUUUUCUCAGCUAUGACUGAAACUUCGGCUCAGGAAUUAGGAUUAGCUCCGGCCCCGGCACCUGACGCCGGUGCGGCUUUCUCCUUGCCGUCUUCCGGUGUGUUAGUUGGAACUUCUCUCAUUCUAUGCGUUGCUGCUAUCUUCAGGCAUUAGAAUUUUGAUUUAGUGGUGAUUGUAUGUGUUUUUCAGUUGUGAGAGUAGUGUUUAUUGAUUUUCUUAUGGAUUUAGGUAUUUUCCGUAUGUAUUGAGAUUGAUCUUUUGGCAGUAUAUAUUUCUGAUUAUAAAAUUUUGUUUUUGAGUAUAAAUAUUGGUUCUUUACUUCCAUUUGUUCUUUCAUUCUCUAUUGCAAGUGAUUAUUCUGUUAUCUAAGAAGGUGAUUAUACCUGAAAAGUACAUUUAUGUUGAUAUAAUCUGGAAAUUAACAACCCGGAAAAGCAAAAACUAAAGAAAAACAAGGCUUUGAGCUGUUUUUUGGGUAAUUUGAGCAAAACUCAGCUCCAGGGUGAAACAUGAAGGAUAAAACAAAGCUAAUUUUCAUGUAAUUGGUACACGCAGAACAGAGUAGAGAUGAAGUAUGUAAAGAAGGUAUCUAGAUUAGUCGAGCUUCAAAGUAGGUACUAAACGCCAAGUGGGAAACCCAAAGGAAGUUUCAUUGAACUUAUAAUUUGUCUUGCAGUUUAAAGGAAAUACUUUUUUAGAUCAACUUAUGUUCUUGAGGAAUAAGAAGAUUAGAAACUUUAAACAAUGUAUAUAAUAUAGUAACAUUAGAGACAAGUUCACAAACUAUGUGACAUAUUAAACAAUGUAAGUUGCAUUUUUUUUGUUGAUAUCCCUUUCUGAGGCACAAAAUGUAAUGCUUAUAGAGAUAAUGACUUGUAAGCAUUGAGAACUCAGCCUUUUAUCCUAUUUAUUGCCAUAUUCAUCUGAGCUUAAUCUUCUCACACUACCUGCCCCUGCACGAAUACACGAUCAUGUGUACAAAAUCUACCAAAUGGAAGGUUUUCUUGUUUCCAUGGCUGGCGUAUGGUCACAUCUCUCCAUUUCUCGAGCUAGCCAAAAAGCUCGUGGAUAGAGGUUUCUUGGUUGACCUAUGUUCUUCAUCUAUUAACCUAAGUUUCAUUAGAACAAGAAUACCAGAAACAUAUUGUUCUUCAAUUCAUCUAGUGGAACUCCAAUUACCAGACUUGCAAGAGCUUCCUCCUCACUAUCAUACAGCCAAUGGCCUCCCACUCCAUCUCCAUUCCACCCUUCAAAAAGCCCUCAAAAUGGCUAAACCAAAUCUGCUCAACAUCUUAGAAGCUCGAAAACCUGACUUGUUAAUCCAUGAUGUCAAGCAAUUAUGGGCUGCUGGGGUGGCUUCUACCCUUGACAUCCCGGCGGUUAGAUUCUUCACUUCUUGUGCAGCCAUGUGCUCCUAUUUCAGUCACUUGUUUGUGAAACCAAAUGUUGAAUUCCCCUUUCAAGCUCUUCGAUUACAUCCCUAUGAGCUAACAAAAGCUCAUAAAGUGGUUAAAGAACAUCGUGAAGAUGAUGAUCCUGAAGUGAGAGCUCCUGAAGAAUUUACAGGCAUGAUGCUAAUAGGCACGUCGAGAGAGAUGGAAGGUAAAUACAUCGACUAUAUGUCCGAAAUAAUCAAAUUUAAGGUCUUGCCAAUUGGUACACUAGUUCAAGAUCCUAUGACUAGUGUAGAUGGAAACAUGGAGAUCAUGCAAUGGUUAGGGAAAAAAGACAAGUUCUCAACUAUAUUAGUCUCUUUUGGUAGUGGCUACUUCUUGACAAACCAAGAAUUGGAAGAAGUAGCUUUUGGGUUAGAGCUUAGCCAAGUGAAUUUCAUAUGGGUAGUUAGGUUCCCAAAAGGGGAAAAUCUAAGUCUUGAAGAGGCAUUACCACAAGGUUUUUUUGAAAGAAUUGGUCAUAGAGGGAUGGUUAUGGGAGGAUGGGCUCCACAAGCAAAAAUACUAACUCAUUCGAGUAUCGGUGGAUUCGUGAGUCAUUGUGGAUGGAAUUCAAUUUCAGAAAGUAUAGAUUAUGGUAUUCCAAUUAUUGCUAUGCCUAUGGAUCUUGAUCAACCUAUGAAAUGCUAAAUUGCUAGUGGAAAUUGGAGUAGCUUUGGAGGUUUUGAGGGAUGAAAAUGGAGCACUUCAUAGAGAAGACAUAGCAAGAGUUAUCAAAGAUGUAAUAUGUGGAAAAUCAGGGGAGAAUUUGAGAUGUAAUGUGAGAAAUUUGGGUAAGAAGUUGAGAUUUAAAAAUGUGGAAGAUAUUGAUGCAGCUAUUAUGGAGCUAACACAACUUUGUCAUGAGAAGAAUCAUAGUUCUUGGAUUCGAGUCAUGGGUAUGGAGCCGCGCUUGGUAGAGCCCUCAAAAAUGGAACUUUCUAGCGCAAAUUCAGAUUAAUCAAGC
Molecule: RNA transcript, 2563 nt
Organism: Solanum stenotomum
Lineage: Eukaryota; Viridiplantae; Streptophyta; Magnoliopsida; Solanales; Solanaceae
Gene name: beta-D-glucosyl crocetin beta-1,6-glucosyltransferase-like
Exons: 1
Source: RefSeq, a predicted model, not a curated record